AUUGAACGCUGGCGGAAUGCUUUACACAUGCAAGUCGAACGGCAGCACGGGGCAACCUGGUGGCGAGUGGCGAACGGGUGAGUAAUAUAUCGGAACGUGCCCAAUCGUGGGGGAUAACGUAGCGAAAGUUACGCUAAUACCGCAUACGAUCUACGGAUGAAAGCGGGGGAUCGCAAGACCUCGCGCGAAUGGAGCGGCCGAUGUCAGAUUAGGUAGUUGGUGGGGUAAAGGCUCACCAAGCCAAUGAUCUGUAGCUGGUCUGAGAGGACGACCAGCCACACUGGAACUGAGACACGGUCCAGACUCCUACGGGAGGCAGCAGUGGGGAAUUUUGGACAAUGGGCGAAAGCCUGAUCCAGCCAUUCCGCGUGCAGGAUGAAGGCCCUCGGGUUGUAAACUGCUUUUGUACAGAACGAAAGAGCUCUGGCUAAUACCUGGAGUCCAUGACGGUACUGUAAGAAUAAGCACCGGCUAACUACGUG
RNAcentral lists this ribosomal RNA (482 nucleotides) under uncultured bacterium. RNAcentral's name for it is "bacterial SSU rRNA". It matches the Rfam family "Bacterial small subunit ribosomal RNA", at positions 30 to 507 of the family's 1533-position model. The record is from RNAcentral.